CAGCCGCCGCGGUAAUACGUAGGUGGCAAGCGUUGUCCGGAAUUAUUGGGCGUAAAGGGCUCGCAGGCGGUUUCUUAAGUCUGAUGUGAAAGCCCCCGGCUCAACCGGGCAGGGUCAUUGGAAACUGGGAAACUUGAGUGCAGAAGAGGAGAGUGGAAUUCCACGUGCAGCGGUGAAAUGCGUAGAGAUGUGGAGGCACACCAGUGGCGAAGGCGACUCUCUGGUCUGUAACUAACGCUGAGGAGCGAAAGCGUGGGGAGCGAACAGGAUUAGAUACCCCGGUAGUCCCUGUCUCUUAUAC
This 301-nucleotide ribosomal RNA is filed under the name uncultured bacterium. Its description in RNAcentral is "partial 16S ribosomal RNA". It matches the Rfam family "Bacterial small subunit ribosomal RNA", at positions 509 to 807 of the family's 1533-position model. The record is from RNAcentral.